This 2908-nucleotide ribosomal RNA is filed under the name Bacillus cereus ATCC 10987. RNAcentral describes it as "bacterial LSU rRNA". It matches the Rfam family "Bacterial large subunit ribosomal RNA". RNAcentral also lists the same sequence under 8 other names. Lineage: Bacteria; Bacillati; Bacillota; Bacilli; Caryophanales; Bacillaceae. The record is from RNAcentral.
GGGCGCACGGUGGAUGCCUUGACACUAGGAGUCGAUGAAGGACGGGACUAACGCCGAUAUGCUUCGGGGAGCUGUAAGUAAGCUUUGAUCCGAAGAUUUCCGAAUGGGGAAACCCACCAUACGUAAUGGUAUGGUAUCCUUAUCUGAAUACAUAGGGUAAGGAAGACAGACCCAGGGAACUGAAACAUCUAAGUACCUGGAGGAAGAGAAAGCAAAUGCGAUUUCCUGAGUAGCGGCGAGCGAAACGGAACAUAGCCCAAACCAAGAGGCUUGCCUCUUGGGGUUGUAGGACAUUCUAUACGGAGUUACAAAGGAACGAGGUAGACGAAGCGACCUGGAAAGGUCCGUCGUAGAGGGUAACAACCCCGUAGUCGAAACUUCGUUCUCUCUUGAAUGUAUCCUGAGUACGGCGGAACACGUGAAAUUCCGUCGGAAUCUGGGAGGACCAUCUCCCAAGGCUAAAUACUCCCUAGUGAUCGAUAGUGAACCAGUACCGUGAGGGAAAGGUGAAAAGCACCCCGGAAGGGGAGUGAAAGAGAUCCUGAAACCGUGUGCCUACAAAUAGUCAGAGCCCGUUAACGGGUGAUGGCGUGCCUUUUGUAGAAUGAACCGGCGAGUUACGAUCCCGUGCGAGGUUAAGCUGAAGAGGCGGAGCCGCAGCGAAAGCGAGUCUGAAUAGGGCGUUUAGUACGUGGUCGUAGACCCGAAACCAGGUGAUCUACCCAUGUCCAGGGUGAAGUUCAGGUAACACUGAAUGGAGGCCCGAACCCACGCACGUUGAAAAGUGCGGGGAUGAGGUGUGGGUAGCGGAGAAAUUCCAAUCGAACCUGGAGAUAGCUGGUUCUCCCCGAAAUAGCUUUAGGGCUAGCCUUAAGUGUAAGAGUCUUGGAGGUAGAGCACUGAUUGGACUAGGGGUCCUCAUCGGAUUACCGAAUUCAGUCAAACUCCGAAUGCCAAUGACUUAUCCUUAGGAGUCAGACUGCGAGUGAUAAGAUCCGUAGUCAAAAGGGAAACAGCCCAGACCGCCAGCUAAGGUCCCAAAGUGUGUAUUAAGUGGAAAAGGAUGUGGAGUUGCUUAGACAACUAGGAUGUUGGCUUAGAAGCAGCCACCAUUUAAAGAGUGCGUAAUAGCUCACUAGUCGAGUGACUCUGCGCCGAAAAUGUACCGGGGCUAAAUACACCACCGAAGCUGCGGAUUGAUACCAAUGGUAUCAGUGGUAGGGGAGCGUUCUAAGGACAGUGAAGUCAGACCGGAAGGACUGGUGGAGUGCUUAGAAGUGAGAAUGCCGGUAUGAGUAGCGAAAGACGGGUGAGAAUCCCGUCCACCGAAUGCCUAAGGUUUCCUGAGGAAGGCUCGUCCGCUCAGGGUUAGUCAGGACCUAAGCCGAGGCCGACAGGCGUAGGCGAUGGACAACAGGUUGAUAUUCCUGUACCACCUCUUUAUCGUUUGAGCAAUGGAGGGACGCAGAAGGAUAGAAGAAGCGUGCGAUUGGUUGUGCACGUCCAAGCAGUUAGGCUGAUAAGUAGGCAAAUCCGCUUAUCGUGAAGGCUGAGCUGUGAUGGGGAAGCUCCUUAUGGAGCGAAGUCUUUGAUUCCCCGCUGCCAAGAAAAGCUUCUAGCGAGAUAAAAGGUGCCUGUACCGCAAACCGACACAGGUAGGCGAGGAGAGAAUCCUAAGGUGUGCGAGAGAACUCUGGUUAAGGAACUCGGCAAAAUGACCCCGUAACUUCGGGAGAAGGGGUGCUUUCUUAACGGAAAGCCGCAGUGAAUAGGCCCAAGCGACUGUUUAGCAAAAACACAGCUCUCUGCGAAGCCGUAAGGCGAAGUAUAGGGGGUGACACCUGCCCGGUGCUGGAAGGUUAAGGAGAGGGGUUAGCGUAAGCGAAGCUCUGAACUGAAGCCCCAGUAAACGGCGGCCGUAACUAUAACGGUCCUAAGGUAGCGAAAUUCCUUGUCGGGUAAGUUCCGACCCGCACGAAAGGUGUAACGAUUUGGGCACUGUCUCAACCAGAGACUCGGUGAAAUUAUAGUACCUGUGAAGAUGCAGGUUACCCGCGACAGGACGGAAAGACCCCGUGGAGCUUUACUGUAGCCUGAUAUUGAAUUUUGGUACAGUUUGUACAGGAUAGGCGGGAGCCUUUGAAACCGGAGCGCUAGCUUCGGUGGAGGCGCUGGUGGGAUACCGCCCUGACUGUAUUGAAAUUCUAACCUACGGGUCUUAUCGACCCGGGAGACAGUGUCAGGUGGGCAGUUUGACUGGGGCGGUCGCCUCCUAAAGUGUAACGGAGGCGCCCAAAGGUUCCCUCAGAAUGGUUGGAAAUCAUUCGUAGAGUGCAAAGGCAUAAGGGAGCUUGACUGCGAGACCUACAAGUCGAGCAGGGACGAAAGUCGGGCUUAGUGAUCCGGUGGUUCCGCAUGGAAGGGCCAUCGCUCAACGGAUAAAAGCUACCCCGGGGAUAACAGGCUUAUCUCCCCCAAGAGUCCACAUCGACGGGGAGGUUUGGCACCUCGAUGUCGGCUCAUCGCAUCCUGGGGCUGUAGUCGGUCCCAAGGGUUGGGCUGUUCGCCCAUUAAAGCGGUACGCGAGCUGGGUUCAGAACGUCGUGAGACAGUUCGGUCCCUAUCCGUCGUGGGCGUAGGAAAUUUGAGAGGAGCUGUCCUUAGUACGAGAGGACCGGGAUGGACGCACCGCUGGUGUACCAGUUGUUCUGCCAAGGGCAUAGCUGGGUAGCUAUGUGCGGAAGGGAUAAGUGCUGAAAGCAUCUAAGCAUGAAGCCCCCCUCAAGAUGAGAUUUCCCAUAGCGUAAGCUAGUAAGAUCCCUGAAAGAUGAUCAGGUUGAUAGGUUCGAGGUGGAAGCAUGGUGACAUGUGGAGCUGACGAAUACUAAUAGAUCGAGGACUUAACCAU